UCAGCCAUGCCGCGUGAGUGAUGAAGGCCUUAGGGUUGUAAAGCUCUUUCACCGGUAGAAGAUAAUGACGGUAUCCGGAGAAGAAGCCCCGGCUAACUUCGUGCCAGCAGCCGCGGUAAUCAGCCGGGGGCUAGCGUUGUUCGGAAUUACUG
Molecule: ribosomal RNA, 152 nt
Filed under: uncultured Rhizobiaceae bacterium
Lineage: Bacteria; Pseudomonadati; Pseudomonadota; Alphaproteobacteria; Hyphomicrobiales; Rhizobiaceae
Description: partial 16S ribosomal RNA
Rfam family: Bacterial small subunit ribosomal RNA
Source: RNAcentral